This 1487-nucleotide ribosomal RNA is filed under the name metagenome. Its description in RNAcentral is "bacterial SSU rRNA". It matches the Rfam family "Bacterial small subunit ribosomal RNA". The record is from RNAcentral.
AGAGUCUGAUCAUGGCUCAGGAUGAACGCUGGCGGCGUGCUUAACACAUGCAAGUCGAACGGGAAUGCUUCGCUGAUGCGAUUUCGGUCAAAUCUUGAAGCAUUUUAGUGGCGGACGGGUGAGUAACGCGUGGGUAACCUGCCCUGUACAGGGGGACAACAGUUGGAAACGACUGCUAAUACCGCAUAAGCGCACAGCUUCGCAUGAAGCAGUGUGAAAAACUCCGGUGGUACAGGAUGGACCCGCGUCUGAUUAGAUAGUUGGUGAGGUAACGGCCCACCAAGUCAACGAUCAGUAGCCGGCCUGAGAGGGCGAACGGCCACAUUGGGACUGAGACACGGCCCAAACUCCUACGGGAGGCAGCAGUGGGGAAUAUUGCACAAUGGGGGAAACCCUGAUGCAGCGACGCCGCGUGAGUGAAGAAGUAUUUCGGUAUGUAAAGCUCUAUCAGCAGGGAAGAAAACAAUGACGGUACCUGACUAAGAAGCCCCGGCUAACUACGUGCCAGCAGCCGCGGUAAUACGUAGGGGGCAAGCGUUGUCCGGAAUGACUGGGUGUAAAGGGAGCGUAGGCGGGAUGGCAAGUCAGAUGUGAAACCUGAGGGCUCAACCUUCAGACUGCAUUUGAAACUGCUGUUCUUGAGUGAAGUAGAGGUAAGCGGAAUUCCUGGUGUAGCGGUGAAAUGCGUAGAGAUCAGGAGGAACAUCGGUGGCGAAGGCGGCUUACUGGGCUUUUACUGACGCUGAGGCUCGAAAGCGUGGGGAGCAAACAGGAUUAGAUACCCUGGUAGUCCACGCUGUAAACGAUGAUUACUAGGUGUGGGGGGAUUGACCCCUUCCGUGCCGCAGUUAACACAAUAAGUAAUCCACCUGGGGAGUACGACCGCAAGGUUGAAACUCAAAGGUAUUGACGGGGGCCCGCACAAGCAGUGGAGUAUGUGGUUUAAUUCGAAGCAACGCGAAGAACCUUACCAGGUCUUGACAUCGAGCGACGUAUCCAGAGAUGGAUAUUUCCUUCGGGACACAAAGACAGGUGGUGCAUGGUUGUCGUCAGCUCGUGUCGUGAGAUGUUGGGUUAAGUCCCGCAACGAGCGCAACCCUUAUCAUUAGUUGCUACGCAAGAGCACUCUAAUGAGACUGCCGUUGACAAAACGGAGGAAGGUGGGGAUGACGUCAAAUCAUCAUGCCCCUUAUGACCUGGGCUACACACGUACUACAAUGGCGAUCGAACAGAGGGAAGCAAGACAGCGAUGUGGAGCCAAUCCCAAAAAAUCGCCCCAGUUCAGAUUGCAGGCUGCAACUCGCCUGCAUGAAGUCGGAAUUGCUAGUAAUCGCAGAUCAGCAUGCUGCGGUGAAUACGUUCCCGGGCCUUGUACACACCGCCCGUCACACCAUGGGAGUCGGUAACACCCAAAGCCGGUCGUCUAACCUUCGGGAGGACGCCGUCUAAGGUGGGAUUGAUGACUGGGGUGAAGUCGUAACAAGGUA